GAUCCAAGUGGAAUGAUUGUACAUGUCUAGGAAAAGCUCUGGUUAAGACUUGGUAUUUAAGCAGUCUAUUUGUGACUCACCUCUCUUCUCCAAAAGUAUUUUCCUGG
Long non-coding RNA from Ipomoea nil (Japanese morning glory), 107 nucleotides. RefSeq lists it as uncharacterized. Lineage: Eukaryota; Viridiplantae; Streptophyta; Magnoliopsida; Solanales; Convolvulaceae. The transcript has 3 exons. The record is from RefSeq and is a predicted model, not a curated record.